Nerophis ophidion (straightnose pipefish) is the source of this 79-nucleotide small nucleolar RNA. RefSeq annotates it as small nucleolar RNA SNORD53/SNORD92. The record is from RefSeq and is a predicted model, not a curated record. The transcript has a single exon. NCBI's taxonomy places the organism in Eukaryota, Metazoa, Chordata, Actinopteri, Syngnathiformes, Syngnathidae.
AUGGCGUGAUGAUGCUGAGAAGGUUUCGCUUGAGAGCUGAUGUCAUUUGAUGUAACUUUUCUCUUGGCUGUCUGACCAA